GUUGUAUGGUUAAGUGACUAAGCGUACACGGUGGAUGCCUUGGCAGUCAGAGGCGAUGAAGGACGUACUAACUUGCGAUAAGCGCAGAUAAGGCAGUAAGAGCCGUUUGAGUCUGCGAUUUCCGAAUGGGGAAACCCAACUGCAUAAGCAGUUACUGUUAACUGAAUCCAUAGGUUAACAGAGCAAACCGGGGGAACUGAAACAUCUAAGUACCCCGAGGAGAAGAAAUCAACCGAGAUUCCGGUAGUAGCGGCGAGCGAACCUGGAUUAGCCCUUAAGCACUCGUUGAAGUAGGUGAACAAGCUGGAAAGCUUGGCGAUACAGGGUGAUAGCCCCGUAACCGACGCUUCAUCGAGCGUGAAAUCGAGUAGGGCGGGACACGUGAUAUCCUGUCUGAAUAUGGGGGGACCAUCCUCCAAGGCUAAAUACUCCUGACUGACCGAUAGUGAACCAGUACCGUGAGGGAAAGGCGAAAAGAACCCCUGUGAGGGGAGUGAAAUAGAACCUGAAACCGUGUACGUACAAGCAGUAGGAGCACCUUCGUGGUGUGACUGCGUACCUUUUGUAUAAUGGGUCAGCGACUUAUAUUCAGUGGCAAGGUUAAC
Molecule: ribosomal RNA, 605 nt
Filed under: Vibrio sp. 03_296
Lineage: Bacteria; Pseudomonadati; Pseudomonadota; Gammaproteobacteria; Vibrionales; Vibrionaceae
Description: bacterial LSU rRNA
Rfam family: Bacterial large subunit ribosomal RNA
Source: RNAcentral